Molecule: long non-coding RNA, 853 nt
Organism: Rosa chinensis
Lineage: Eukaryota; Viridiplantae; Streptophyta; Magnoliopsida; Rosales; Rosaceae
Exons: 3
Source: RefSeq, a predicted model, not a curated record
GAUUUGAAGGAGUGGAGGGUGGAGAAAGAAGCCAUGCCUAGUCUUCAGAGAUUGCGCAUUGAAAGGUGCUACAAAUUGCGGGCAGUUCCAGAUGGGCUUCAGGAGAUUACUAUCCUCAAGGAAUUAACAAUUGACGAUAUGCCUAGUAGAUUCUGCAAUAGGUUUAGGGAAGGAGGAGAGGAUUUCUACAAAAUCAAACAUGUGCAUUCUCUUAUAAUAAAAAAUUAAUUGAAGACGACGAGCCAGAAAUGGAGGAAGCAGCGAGUGCUUCUCAAGUAGUUGCGGUUUCAGCUGGUGACUAAUUGACAAAUUGAAGCUCCUCCUCCUCCUGAUGAGAAAACAGAGGAAAUACAAACUUCAUCCACUCCUCAGUGAAAUCCACAAGUUCGACGUUGUUGCUCCGCUUGACCACAUAUAGAUACAAUAGAAUCAAACUGGAUCAGCAUCUGUAUUACUUGCUGCAGAUUACAACAGACGUGAACAAGGCUAAAGGCUUGAUUAUCAGAAUUUCCAGAUUACUUGCACAAGUGCUACUCAUGAUGGCCGAAUCCUAUACGGCCCCGCCUUUAAUUCUCCAUUGCCUCUCUUUCUUCUUCCACCGCAACAGCAGCUCUGUGUUUCUUCCCUCAGUCCCUCGUCGCUUUACACGGACCAGUCACACAGGUAUGUCUCUUUCUUCUAAAUUAUGCUUUCUUUCCUCACCCAUGCUUUCAAAUUAGAUUGGAAUACGUUUUUUAUUUAUCCUCUAAAUUUGACUUUUACGGUAUAAUUACUCAGUUAUGUUUACACUGUAAUUUGAUAUCCAGGUCUACAUUCUUUGGUCUUUUCUACCCUGCCCAUCUCAAACCCCUUU